This 427-nucleotide ribosomal RNA is filed under the name uncultured bacterium. RNAcentral's name for it is "partial 16S ribosomal RNA". It matches the Rfam family "Bacterial small subunit ribosomal RNA", at positions 355 to 774 of the family's 1533-position model. The record is from RNAcentral.
UAGGGAAUCUUCGGCAAUGGGGGGAACCCUGACCGAGCAACGCCGCGUGAGUGAAGAAGGUUUUUGGAUCGUAAAGCUCUGUUGUAAGAGAAGAACGGGUGUGAGAGUGGAAAGUUCACACUGUGACGGUAUCUUACCAGAAAGGGACGGCUAACUACGUGCCAGCAGCCGCGGUAAUACGUAGGUCCCGAGCGUUGUCCGGAUUUAUUGGGCGUAAAGCGAGCGCAGGCGGUUAGAUAAGUCUGAAGUUAAAGGCUGUGGCUUAACCAUAGUAUGCUUUGGAAACUGUUUAACUUGAGUGCAGAAGGGGAGAGUGGAAUUCCAUGUGUAGCGGUGAAAUGCGUAGAUAUAUGGAGGAACACCGGUGGCGAAAGCGGCUCUCUGGUCUGUAACUGACGCUGAGGCUCGAAAGCGUGGGGAGCAAACA